AUGCUGACCCACAGGUGGAAGAUGCUUGGUCUCCAGCCUUCCGUCAUUGGGAACAGAGAUGACCACACAUCUAAACAUUUAAACCAAGAGAGUAAGACUGAAGACUGUCCACUGAAGUUCAUGGCCCUGCAGACCAGCCACAGCAGAGCUCCUCGAGAGAGACGGCAAGAAAACUCCAGCUCCAACUCGUCUGAUGUAGGAAUUCCAGAGGUAAAAGCGAACAACAUGGAUGUUCCAGUGUCCAGUAACACAGCAGCUUCAGAACAGUCCAAUUCUGACAACAGCGAUCUCUCAGAUCAGGAGAGAGGAAGAGCUCAGGUUUCAAAGUGGUCUGCACCUGUGGAGCUGUAUCUGAGGCCUGAGCCAUAUAACAAUGACCUGGACUCUUCUUAUUCCCCAGUGACAGUAGACGAACAGGUUUACCCCCAGGUUCUUCCGGCUCCUCUUAAAGAUCUGGAUUUUACUCAUGGUGAUCCAUCCACAGAACUCUCAGAUAGCCAGCAGAGGCUGUUCUCGGCUGAUCCCUGCCUCGCUCCUCUGGUAGUGCGGCUGCUGGAGCUGGAAAAGCUUCAGUCUGCCACUGUACAGAAAGAGCGAGCGAAACGACCAACCACUGCUAGAGCUCAGACCAAAAACAGCACUCGUUCAAAGAAUUGUGAACUUAUGGUUUCCAAGUCAUGGAGUCCUGAGGAUGCAGAUUGCAAUUCCGUCACAUGUAGUUUUACCAAGCUCAGUCUCUGUCCCAAUACUUCCUCCUGUAGAUGCAGACGGGAUGCUUGCCCCAUGGCAAAACUUAGAUAUAGAAGCAGAGAAAUGUGUCUACAGCAGUACCAGACACUGCUUAAACAUCCACAGGCUAUGCCAGGCAAACUGAACAGGCCUGUAGCUGUAGUUCCAGUUUUCUCAGUCAGUGUAAAGACCUCACCAAAACCAAAAACUCCUAAUAGAACCAGGAGACUCAGAACCACUAAGAAAAGUUCAUCAAGGCCACAGAGAGACAACUCGACUUCUGCCAAAAAGACAAGAACAGCUUCUAUCAGAAAGUCUGAAUUUUAA
This 1056-nucleotide long non-coding RNA is filed under the name Astyanax mexicanus (Mexican tetra). RNAcentral's name for it is "lncRNA (ENSAMXG00005017745.1)". Lineage: Eukaryota; Metazoa; Chordata; Actinopteri; Characiformes; Acestrorhamphidae. The record is from RNAcentral.